This 1864-nucleotide long non-coding RNA is filed under the name Homo sapiens (human). RNAcentral's name for it is "HSALNT0255882". The record is from RNAcentral. Lineage: Eukaryota; Metazoa; Chordata; Mammalia; Primates; Hominidae.
AAUACACCAAUCAGCACCCUGUGUCUAGCUCAGGGUUUGUGAAUGCACCAAUCGACACUCUGUACCUAGCUAUUCUGGUGGGGCCUUGGAGAACCUUUAUGUCAACACUCUGUAUCUAGCUAAUCUGGGGGGGACGUGGAGAACCUUUGUGUCUAGCUCAGGGAUUGUAAACGCACCAAUCAGCGCCCUGUCAAAACAGACCACUCGGCUAUACCAAUCAGCAGGAUGUGGGUGGGGCCAGAUAAGAGAAUAAAAGCAGGCUGCCUGAGCCAGCAGUGGCAACCCACUCGGGUCCCCUUCCACACUGUGGAAGCUUUGUUCUUUUGCUCUUUGCAAUAAAUCUUGCUAGUGCUCACUCUUUGGGUCCACGCUGCUUUUAUGAGCUGUAACACUCACCACAAAGGUCUGCAGCUUCACUCCUGAAGCCAGCGAGAUCACGAGCCCACCAGGAGGAACGAAGAACUCCAGACGCGCUGCCUUAAGAGCUGUUAACACUCACCACGAAGGUCUGCAGCUUCACUCCUGAGCCAGCGAGACCACAAACCCACCAGAAGGAAGAAACUCUGAACACAUCCAAACAUCAGAAGGAACAAACUCCAGACACGCCACCUUAAGAGCUGUAACACUCACCGCAAGGGUCCACGGCUUCAUUUUUGAAGUCAGUGACACCAAGAACCCACCAAUUCCGGACACAAUACAUUGAAAUAUUAUUUAUACUUAGAAAAUAACAUCUUGGCCGGGCACUGUGGCUCAUGCCUAUAAGCCCAGCACUUUUGGAGGCCGAGGCAGGUCGAUCACCUGAGGUUGGAGUUGGAGACCAGUCUGACCAACAUGGAGAAACCUUGUCUCUACUAAAAAUACAAAAUUAGCCAGGUGUGGUGGCACAUGCCUGUAAUCCCAGCUACUCAGGAGGCUGAGACAGGAGAAUUGCUUGAACCUGAAAGGCAGAGGCUGCGGUGAGCCGAGGUUGUGCCACUGAACUCCAGCCUGCUGUCUCAAAAAAAAAAAAAAGAAAACGUCUUGUUACAUACUACAACAUGCGUGAAACCUCAGGAUAAUUGCAAUAAGCAAAAUACAAUAGAAUUCAUCUUACAGAACUUAUGUAGAUUUGUCAAACUAUCUCAAGUGUACGUGUAAAAUUCCUUAAGCUGGUAAGUUUUAAGUUUUGUUUUCCAAUAAGUAAUGAUAAUAAAUCAUGGUAGCAGCCAGGUGUGGUGACUCAUGCCUAUAAUUCCAGUACUUUAGGAGGCCAAGGCAGGUGCAAUUAUGGAGGUCAGCAGUUUGAGACCUGCCUGGCCAACGUGGUGGAACUCCAUCUCUACUAAAAAUACAAAAAUUAGCCAGGCGCAACAGCAUGGUACUGGUACCAAAACAGAGAUAUAGACCAAUGGAACAGAACAGAGCCCUCAGAAAUAAUACCACACAUAUACAACCAUCUGAUCUUUGACGAACCUGACAAAAACAACAAAUGGGGAAACGAUUCCCUAUUUAAUAAAUGGUGCUGGGAGAACUGGCUAGCCAUAUGUAGAAAGCUGAAACUGGAUCCCUUCCUUACGCCUUAUACAAAAAUUAAUUCAAGAUGGAUUAAAGACUUAAAUGUUAGACCUAAAACCAUAAAAACCCUAGAAGAAAACCUAGGCAAUACCAUUCAGACAUAGGCAUGGGCAAGGACUUCAUCACUAAAACACCAAAAGCAAUGGCAACAAAAGCCAAAAUUGACAAAUGGGAUCUAAUUAAACUAAAGAGCUUCUGCACAGCAAAAGAAACUACCAUCAGAAUGAACAGGCAACCUAUAGAAUGGGAGAAAAUUUUUACAAUCUACCCAUCUGACAAAGGGCUAAUAUCCAGAAUCUACAAAGAACUU